UCAGCUCAGCUGGUUAGAGUCCCUCUGCUGCGGGAUUAAUCAGAGGGUCCCAGGUUCAAGUCCUGGAGGGGGAG
This 74-nucleotide transfer RNA is filed under the name Bacteroidales bacterium. RNAcentral's name for it is "tRNA-OTHER". Lineage: Bacteria; Pseudomonadati; Bacteroidota; Bacteroidia; Bacteroidales. The record is from RNAcentral.